UACGGGGGGGGCAAGCGUUGUUCGGAAUUACUGGGCGUAAAGGGCUCGUAGGUGGCCAACUAAGUCAGACGUGAAAUCCCUCGGCUUAACCGGGGAACUGCGUCUGAUACUGGAUGGCUUGAGUUCGGGAGAGGAGAGUGGAAUUCCCAGUGUAGAGGUGAAAUUCGUAGAUAUUGGGAAGAACACCGGUGGCGAAGGCGGCUCUCUGGACCGAGACUGACGCUGAGGAGCGAAAGCCAGGGGAGCAAACGGG
This 253-nucleotide ribosomal RNA is filed under the name uncultured bacterium. RNAcentral describes it as "partial 16S ribosomal RNA". It matches the Rfam family "Bacterial small subunit ribosomal RNA", at positions 524 to 776 of the family's 1533-position model. The record is from RNAcentral.